ACUAAGCGUACACGGUGGAUGCCCUGGCAGUCAGAGGCGAUGAAGGACGUGCUAAUCUGCGAUAAGCGUCGGUAAGGUGAUAUGAACCGUUAUAACCGGCGAUUUCCGAAUGGGGAAACCCAGUGUGAUUCGUCACACUAUCAUUAACUGAAUCCAUAGGUUAAUGAGGCGAACCGGGGGAACUGAAACAUCUAAGUACCCCGAGGAAAAGAAAUC
Molecule: ribosomal RNA, 216 nt
Filed under: Escherichia coli
Lineage: Bacteria; Pseudomonadati; Pseudomonadota; Gammaproteobacteria; Enterobacterales; Enterobacteriaceae
Description: partial 23S ribosomal RNA
Rfam family: Bacterial large subunit ribosomal RNA
Source: RNAcentral